Molecule: non-coding RNA, 208 nt
Organism: Pelobates cultripes (western spadefoot toad)
Lineage: Eukaryota; Metazoa; Chordata; Amphibia; Anura; Pelobatidae
Source: the annotation of a GenBank genome assembly
CCACCAAAUUCAGCACAUGGGAUGUGCGUCAAAUCGGCUAGGCCCAGAGCUACCACGAGAUUUCACCCAUUAUCGCACACCACCAGGCUGGGCUUGAGGCUCAGUGGUGUGGGGUUUUUCCCCCAAACAUAUGAGUUUUAAAACAGCCUGCUGUCGUUUCCCCCUGGCUGUGCUGAAGUUGGUGGUGAAGGUGUUACGCUGACCAGAU